This is a small nucleolar RNA of Alosa sapidissima (American shad), 134 nucleotides long. RefSeq annotates it as small nucleolar RNA SNORA5. The transcript has a single exon. The record is from RefSeq and is a predicted model, not a curated record. Lineage: Eukaryota; Metazoa; Chordata; Actinopteri; Clupeiformes; Clupeidae.
UGCAGCCUUGUCAAAUUCAGUGUCUCCUUCUCAGUGGACUACACUGGCCAAAAUGGCUGCCACAGUAAUAAGUAACCCAUGGGCUCUACGUCCUUUGUAGUGGGACGCUGGAGAUAGAUGGAGUACUGACAGAU